Molecule: ribosomal RNA, 801 nt
Filed under: bacterium
Lineage: Bacteria
Description: bacterial SSU rRNA
Rfam family: Bacterial small subunit ribosomal RNA
Source: RNAcentral
GAAGCCCAGCUUGCUGGGUGGAUUAGUGGCGAACGGGUGAGUAACACGUGAGCAACCUGCCCCUGACUCUGGGAUAAGCGCUGGAAACGGCGUCUAAUACUGGAUACGAGACGUGAUCGCAUGGUCAACGUUUGGAAAGAUUUUUCGGUUGGGGAUGGGCUCGCGGCCUAUCAGCUUGUUGGUGAGGUAAUGGCUCACCAAGGCGUCGACGGGUAGCCGGCCUGAGAGGGUGACCGGCCACACUGGGACUGAGACACGGCCCAGACUCCUACGGGAGGCAGCAGUGGGGAAUAUUGCACAAUGGGCGCAAGCCUGAUGCAGCAACGCCGCGUGAGGGAUGACGGCCUUCGGGUUGUAAACCUCUUUUAGCAGGGAAGAAGCGAGAGUGACGGUACCUGCAGAAAAAGCACCGGCUAACUACGUGCCAGCAGCCGCGGUAAUACGUAGGGUGCAAGCGUUAUCCGGAAUUAUUGGGCGUAAAGAGCUCGUAGGCGGUUUGUCGCGUCUGCUGUGAAAUCUGGGGGCUCAACCCCCAGCCUGCAGUGGGUACGGGCAGACUAGAGUGCGGUAGGGGAGAUUGGAAUUCCUGGUGUAGCGGUGGAAUGCGCAGAUAUCAGGAGGAACACCGAUGGCGAAGGCAGAUCUCUGGGCCGUAACUGACGCUGAGGAGCGAAAGGGUGGGGAGCAAACAGGCUUAGAUACCCUGGUAGUCCACCCCGUAAACGUUGGGAACUAGUUGUGGGGUCCAUUCCACGGAUUCCGUGACGCAGCUAACGCAUUAAGUUCCCCGCCUGGGGAGUA